UACGUAGGGUGCAAGCGUUGUCCGGAAUUAUUGGGCGUAAAGGGCUCGUAGGCGGUCUGUUGCGUCAGGAGUGAAAACUCGGGGCUUAACCCCGAGCCUGCUUCUGAUACGGGCAGACUAGAGGUAUGCAGGGGAGAACGGAAUUCCUGGUGUAGCGGUGAAAUGCGCAGAUAUCAGGAGGAACACCGGUGGCGAAGGCGGGUCUCUGGGCAGUAACUGACGCUGAGGAGCGAAAGCGUGGGGAGCGAACAGG
RNAcentral lists this ribosomal RNA (253 nucleotides) under uncultured bacterium. Its description in RNAcentral is "partial 16S ribosomal RNA". It matches the Rfam family "Bacterial small subunit ribosomal RNA", at positions 524 to 776 of the family's 1533-position model. The record is from RNAcentral.